GACCUGGGCUACACACGUGCUACAAUGGACAGAACAAAGGGCAGCGAAACCGCGAGGUUAAGCCAAUCCCACAAAUCUGUUCUCAGUUCGGAUCGCAGUCUGCAACUCGACUGCGUGAAGCUGGAAUCGCUAGUAAUCGCGGAUCAGCAUGCCGCGGUGAAUACGUUCCCGGGCCUUGUACACACCGCCCGUCACACCACGAGAGUUUGUAACACCCGAAGUCGGUGAGGUAACCUUUUAGGAGCCAGCCGCCGAAGGUGGGACAGAUGAUUGGGGUGAAGUCGUAACAAGGUAGCCGUAUCGGAAGGUGCGGUUGGAACACCU
This 324-nucleotide ribosomal RNA is filed under the name Bacillus subtilis. Its description in RNAcentral is "bacterial SSU rRNA". It matches the Rfam family "Bacterial small subunit ribosomal RNA", at positions 1206 to 1528 of the family's 1533-position model. The record is from RNAcentral. Lineage: Bacteria; Bacillati; Bacillota; Bacilli; Caryophanales; Bacillaceae.